This 97-nucleotide ribosomal RNA is filed under the name Methylotenera sp. RNAcentral's name for it is "partial 16S ribosomal RNA". It matches the Rfam family "Bacterial small subunit ribosomal RNA", at positions 1 to 93 of the family's 1533-position model. The record is from RNAcentral. Lineage: Bacteria; Pseudomonadati; Pseudomonadota; Betaproteobacteria; Nitrosomonadales; Methylophilaceae.
AUUAAACUGAAGAGUUUGAUCAUGGCUCAGAUUGAACGCUGGCGGAAUGCUUUACACAUGCAAGUCGAACGGCAGCACGGACUUCGGUCUGGUGGCG